This 71-nucleotide transfer RNA is filed under the name bacterium. RNAcentral describes it as "tRNA-Gly". It matches the Rfam family "tRNA". From Rfam's summary of the family: Transfer RNA (tRNA) molecules are approximately 80 nucleotides in length. Their secondary structure includes four short double-helical elements and three loops (D, anti-codon, and T loops). Further hydrogen bonds mediate the characteristic L-shaped molecular structure. tRNAs have two regions of fundamental functional importance: the anti-codon, which is responsible for specific mRNA codon recognition, and the 3' end, to which the tRNAs corresponding amino acid is attached (by aminoacyl-tRNA synthetases). tRNAs cope with the degeneracy of the genetic code in two manners: having more than one tRNA (with a specific anti-codon) for a particular amino acid; and 'wobble' base-pairing, i.e. permitting non-standard base-pairing at the 3rd anti-codon position. RNAcentral also lists the same sequence under 1 other name. The record is from RNAcentral.
GCGGGGUUGGUUUAGUGGUAAAACAUCAGCCUUCCAAGCUGAGGACACGGGUUCAAUUCCCGUACCCCGCU